GAUGAACGCUGGCGGCGUGCCUAAUACAUGCAAGUCGAGCGAAACUUCUUUAUCACCGAGUGCUUGCACUCACCGAUAAAGAGUUGAGUGGCGAACGGGUGAGUAACACGUGGGCAACCUGCCCAAAAGAGGGGGAUAACACUUGGAAACAGGUGCUAAUACCGCAUAACCAUAGUUACCGCAUGGUAACUAUGUAAAAGGUGGCUAUACUACCGCUUUUGGAUGGGCCCGCGGCGCAUUAGCUAGUUGGUAGGGUAAAGGCUUACCAAGGCAAUGAUGCGUAGCCGAAUUGAGAGGUUGAUCGGCCACAUUGGGACUGAGACACGGCCCAAACUCCUACGGGAGGCAGCAGUAGGGAAUCUUCCACAAUGGGCGAAAGCCUGAUGGAGCAACGCCGCGUGGGUGAAGAAGGUCUUCGGAUCGUAAAACCCUGUUGUUAGAGAAGAAAGUGCGUGAGAGUAACUGUUCACGUUUCGACGGUAUCUAACCAGAAAGCCACUGCUAACUACGUG
This 512-nucleotide ribosomal RNA is filed under the name uncultured bacterium. RNAcentral's name for it is "partial 16S ribosomal RNA". It matches the Rfam family "Bacterial small subunit ribosomal RNA", at positions 28 to 507 of the family's 1533-position model. The record is from RNAcentral.